GGGGGCAUAGCUCAGCUGGGAGAGCAACAGACUGAAGUGAAUCACGUCUUCUGGAGGUCCCCGGUUCAAUCCCGGGUGCCCCCA
RNAcentral lists this transfer RNA (84 nucleotides) under Armillaria gallica. It matches the Rfam family "tRNA". Rfam says of the family: Transfer RNA (tRNA) molecules are approximately 80 nucleotides in length. Their secondary structure includes four short double-helical elements and three loops (D, anti-codon, and T loops). Further hydrogen bonds mediate the characteristic L-shaped molecular structure. tRNAs have two regions of fundamental functional importance: the anti-codon, which is responsible for specific mRNA codon recognition, and the 3' end, to which the tRNAs corresponding amino acid is attached (by aminoacyl-tRNA synthetases). tRNAs cope with the degeneracy of the genetic code in two manners: having more than one tRNA (with a specific anti-codon) for a particular amino acid; and 'wobble' base-pairing, i.e. permitting non-standard base-pairing at the 3rd anti-codon position. The record is from Rfam by way of RNAcentral. Lineage: Eukaryota; Fungi; Basidiomycota; Agaricomycetes; Agaricales; Physalacriaceae.